GUCACUGAUCUGAUGAGAUACCAGACGAAGUAUCUUAAAGAGGAGACUGUUUCUAGGUCAAAUUAGCACAUGCAGGCUGAGAUCUGUGCUGGGAUGUUUUAAGUUCCAGUGGAAAUGUCAGCAGGCAAAGCAGGGGAAAACCAAGAUGCAGCUCUGUGACGAUUCCACAGUAUCCAGACCAGCUGAUAAUCAGUUAUUCAAGGUCAGUUUAAGAACCAAGUCAUCUUUCCUUUCAACCACCACCACCACAACAUCCACACAGAGGAAUCUCUGCCUUCAGGGAGCUGGGGCCAUGUGAGUCACAGUCUCUAGAGAUUCAACUUUUGAGGAAAACUGGUUCAGACUACAUGGAGAGGUGAAUGCCUGAAAAGGAGACAGAGGCAACAGGUUGGAAAAGGAGGCUUGCACAGGCUUCCAGGUGGCUCUGGGAUGCCAGAAGAGAGCAGCAGAGUCAUUAUGUGCACAUUUCAAUAGUUGCUAGACAGUCACUUCCACACCAGUGCCUCCAAAUGGAUCCCUUACCCUGGAGUAAAGAUUCUUGCAAGCAGCAGAGGUGACACAGUCUGAAAAGGCAAGCAGACAGCAAAGACGCUCACCCAUAGUAUCACAAGAGUCGAAUCAAGGGCUCAUUCGUACACACCCACAGAGACAGAAGGCCUUGAGAAUGUGAAGUGGGUGAUGCCCUCAGACUCAGCUGGCCCUUAGGAUUUAGACCCUGGGUGAAAGACAAGGGGAGAUGGUACACUAUGCUGUCAGAACUCCAAGUAGAAAUUUUCAACAGACUAGUGAUAAACUGGUAUUAUUUUGUGUACCAUUGAUAAGUGGUUAUUAGCCCAAAUGCUUGAAUUACCCUAGAUGCACAGAACACAUGAAA
This is a long non-coding RNA of Rattus rattus (black rat), 874 nucleotides long. RefSeq lists it as uncharacterized. The transcript has 4 exons. The record is from RefSeq and is a predicted model, not a curated record. Lineage: Eukaryota; Metazoa; Chordata; Mammalia; Rodentia; Muridae.